Molecule: long non-coding RNA, 394 nt
Organism: Apis dorsata (giant honeybee)
Lineage: Eukaryota; Metazoa; Arthropoda; Insecta; Hymenoptera; Apidae
Exons: 3
Source: RefSeq, a predicted model, not a curated record
UAGAGGCAAAUAUAGAAACUAAAGAAUAUAAUGUUUCCAUGAUCUAAAGAAGCAAAUGUUCCUCUUCCAUACUGGCAUUAAAGCGUAAAAGAAGUUGUCCGCAUUCCAUGAAAAUCAAGAAAUUCUAGAUUAAUCUAGAAAUUUUAAAGCUAUAAAAUGAGAGCAAAGUGGCGAAAAAAAAGAAUGCGCAGGCUAAAACGUAAAAGGAGGAAGAUGCGUGCAAGGUCUAAAUAAAUUUUAUACAUAACCUCCUUAUAAGAGUAACAUCAACCAGAUUGGCAUGAAAGAAUUGUACUAAUUGAAUUAUCGAUACAAAUAAUUUUUGUUAUUCAAAAAUUCAUUUGUGUAUAUUUCUUGUACAAUUUAAUAAAAUAAUCGUUUUAAUAAUUAAAAA